RNAcentral lists this ribosomal RNA (783 nucleotides) under Gigaspora rosea. RNAcentral's name for it is "eukaryotic LSU rRNA". It matches the Rfam family "Eukaryotic large subunit ribosomal RNA", at positions 1 to 694 of the family's 3401-position model. The record is from RNAcentral. Lineage: Eukaryota; Fungi; Glomeromycota; Glomeromycetes; Diversisporales; Gigasporaceae.
GACCUCAAGUCAUAUGAGAGUACCCGCUGAACUUAAGCAUAUCAAUAAGCGGAGGAAAAGAAACUAACAAGGAUUCCCCUAGUAACGGCGAGUGAAGCGGGAAGAGCACAAAUUUAAAAUCUACCUGGUUUUCAGGUCGAGUUGUAAUUUGAGGAUACGUUUUUGAUAUUCCUGGUUGGACUAAAUCCUUUGGGAUAAGGUAUCAUAGAGGGUGAGAAUCCUGUGUAUACCAACCACAGGGAUGUUAUUUAAUAACGUUUUUAAGAGUCGAGUUGUUUGGGAAUGCAGCUCUAAAUGGGUGGUAAAUUUCACCUAAUGCUAAAUAUAAGCGAGAGACCGAUAGCGAACAAGUACAGUGAUGGAAAGAUGAAAAGAACUUUGAAAAGAGAGUUAAAUAGUACGUGAAAUUGUUGAAAGGGAAACGAUUGAAGUCAGUCAUGCCAGUGGGAAUCAACUUAGAGGAAACUCUAGGUGCACUUCUUCGCUUGGCAGGUUAGUGUCGAUUUUGGAUGUCAUAAAAUGACUGGGGGAAGGUAGCUCCUUUGGGAGUGUUAUAGCCCUUGGUAGAUGUGAUGUCUGGAAUCGAGGAUUGCAACGGAUACCCUUUAGGGCUAGUCACCUGAUCUCUAAUUAGUGCUAGAUUACGGACAGCAUGCUGACCGUGAUUUAAUUAUUGGUUAAAAGGUUAGAGUGCACAUAAAUUCGUUAAGGACACUGACGUAAUGGCUUUAAACGACCCGUCUUGAAACACGGACCAAGGAGUCUAACAUAUAUGCGAGUGUU